Molecule: ribosomal RNA, 247 nt
Filed under: uncultured bacterium
Lineage: Bacteria
Description: partial 16S ribosomal RNA
Rfam family: Bacterial small subunit ribosomal RNA
Source: RNAcentral
UACAGAGGGUGCGAGCGUUGUCCGGAAUCACUGGGCGUAAAGGGCGCGUAGGCGGUGACUUAAGCGUGUGGUGAAAGCUCGGGGCUCAACCCCCGAGUCGGCCGUGCGAACUGGGUCACUGGAGCAGAUCAGAGGCGGGCGGAAUUCCGGGUGUAGCGGUGGAAUGCGUAGAGAUCCGGGAAGAACACCCGGUGGCGAAGGCGGCCCCGCUGGGGACUGGCUGACGCUGAGGCGCGACGCGUGGGGG